RNAcentral lists this ribosomal RNA (253 nucleotides) under uncultured bacterium. Its description in RNAcentral is "partial 16S ribosomal RNA". It matches the Rfam family "Bacterial small subunit ribosomal RNA", at positions 524 to 776 of the family's 1533-position model. The record is from RNAcentral.
UACGUAGGUGACAAGCGUUGUCCGGAUUUACUGGGCGUAAAGAGCGCGCAGGCAGUCGUUCAAGUCGAGUGUGAAAGCCCCCGGCUCAACUGGGGAGGGUCAUUCGAUACUGAUCGACUCGAAGGCAGGAGAGGGAAGUGGAAUUCCCGGUGUAGUGGUGAAAUGCGUAGAUAUCGGGAGGAACACCAGUGGCGAAGGCGACUUCCUGGCCUGUUCUUGACGCUGAGGCGCGAAAGCUAGGGGAGCAAACGGG